Molecule: ribosomal RNA, 442 nt
Filed under: uncultured bacterium
Lineage: Bacteria
Description: partial 16S ribosomal RNA
Rfam family: Bacterial small subunit ribosomal RNA
Source: RNAcentral
CUACGGGGUGCUGCAGUGGGGAAUAUUGGGCAAUGGAGGAAACUCUGACCCAGCAACGCCGCGUGGAGGAAGAAGGUCUUCGGAUUGUAAACUUCUGUUAUAAGGGAAAAAGAAAGUGAUGGUACCUUAUGAGGAAGCCACGGCAAACUAUGUGCCAGCAGCCGCGGUAAUACAUAGGUGGCAAGCGUUGUCCGGAAUAACUGGGCGUAAAGAGAGCGUAGGCGGAAUGAUAAGUUGAUUGUGAAAGCCCAAGGCUUAACCUUGGAAUUGCAGUCAAAACUGUCAAUCUAGAGUACGGGAGAGGAAGGCGGAAUUCCUAGUGUAGCAGUGGAAUGCGUAGAUAUUAGGAGGAACACCAGAGGCGAAGGCGGCCUUCUGGAACGCAACUGACGCUGAGGCUCGAAAGUAUGGGGAGCAAACAGGAUUAGAUACCCGGGUAGUC